Molecule: transfer RNA, 72 nt
Filed under: Salinicoccus kekensis
Lineage: Bacteria; Bacillati; Bacillota; Bacilli; Caryophanales; Staphylococcaceae
Description: tRNA_Gln_TTG
Rfam family: tRNA
About the family: Transfer RNA (tRNA) molecules are approximately 80 nucleotides in length. Their secondary structure includes four short double-helical elements and three loops (D, anti-codon, and T loops). Further hydrogen bonds mediate the characteristic L-shaped molecular structure. tRNAs have two regions of fundamental functional importance: the anti-codon, which is responsible for specific mRNA codon recognition, and the 3' end, to which the tRNAs corresponding amino acid is attached (by aminoacyl-tRNA synthetases). tRNAs cope with the degeneracy of the genetic code in two manners: having more than one tRNA (with a specific anti-codon) for a particular amino acid; and 'wobble' base-pairing, i.e. permitting non-standard base-pairing at the 3rd anti-codon position.
Source: RNAcentral
UGGGCUGUAGCCAAGCGGUAAGGCAACGGGUUUUGGUCUCGUCAUGCGAAGGUUCGAAUCCUUCCAGCCCAG